CCCGUGCGUUGCACGGGUUUACUUACAAUAUUAUAGAACAUUAUAUAUAAAUUAUUAUAGUUUAAAUAAAUAAAAUUUAAAAUAAUUUUAAUUAUAAAUAUAAAAAAAUUGUGUUAAUUAAGACAUUUCAAUAAAUAUAAUUAGAGUUAUUUUUUGUGUAAAUAAUUAAUAGUACUCAAAUUAUAUAAUUAUUAGCAUAGAAAUAAUCUUAACAACUUAAAAAUUUAUUUAUCCAAUGACAUAAAAAAUUGCUAAUUUACUUUGAAAUAUUUAAUUUAAGCAAUAAGUUAAUUUUAUUGUGUAAUAUAUUUAUUACAAAGAAAAUGUGAUGUUUGGUACAAUGCAUUCAAGUAUGGGUUCUUUUACCUAUGCGCUGCACAGAUUUGUUUUAAGUUGUAAUUUUAAAUUGUGAUAUUUUAAUUUGUAUAAAGGUAAGAAUAUUAAAUGAAAGUUCAUCAAAAACUUCAUUGUACACUAAAUUUUUUCGUAUAUUACGCAUAUGUAUCAUCUUUCUCAACAAUAAGUAUUUCAAUCCCUUUGGUAAUCUUACUUUAAACAACGCAAAUAUAAUUGGUCAUGAGAGCAUAUAUGUCUUGGCAAAUAUAAUCUCCCAUAGUUCAAUGACUGAUUUUGGCUUUUGUUAAUUGUCAUGGUGUAACAAACUUUAUUGAAAAUUGUUUCUUCUUAGCAUAAAAUAUCAUUUAGAAUUAUUUGUGGUAAAAACUAUAUGUGUUAUAAGCACUUUUGCACCAGUGUUACUUCCUGAAGUAUUUGCGACUCUAUUUUCUAUUCUCCUAGAUGUACAAUAAUUAGUUUUAUUCCAUUGCACAUUCCUAGGGUUGGAUUGAUGUUCCUGAGUAGCAUAAUUGACAUUCCUACUUUAAGGUGCAACAAUGGUUUGGGUAUUAUUGAAAUUUAAAGAAUUCAAGAACUUCACCGGAUACAUGAACUCUUGUUCAGUUAUAUAUAUUAUCAUUUGCAAUAUCCAUUUGUUGAAUUCAGAUGCCAAUAAAUUAAGUUGAGCAGAUGAUGAAGUGUCAACGAUCAUACUUUUAGAAAACAUAAAGAUCUUGAAGAAACCAACAAUGUCUUUUAGUGUUCUAUCAAGGGAUUCAAAUGCCAACCUUUUAGUCAUAGGUGUUUCAUUCCAAAUAAUCAAAUCUAUUUGAAUUAUUAAUUGAGCAAGCUGAGUAUUUUACUUGAUUAAGCUCGUACUAUCUUCAAAAACAUCUAGAGGUAUUUUAAAUCGACUAUGAGUGUUGUACCUCAAGGUAGUAAUUAAUAAUGAUACGCUCCCUGGAAUUUUUAAAAAAAAUAAAAGAUUAGAGUACAAUGAAUUUAAUACAUAUUAAUAUAGUGUGAUUAUUUAGUUUGUAAAAAUGUAUUUUUAAGUUACUAAAAAAAUGUAUUAUUAAGUUCAAUCAUCAUUGAUUAAAUAAAAAGAUAAAUAUUUGUUAAAUAUUUUUUAGUAAGAAUAAUUCAAAUAUUUAUCAUCAAUAACAAAAGUAAAUAUUAAAAUUACGUUUUAGUUUUGUAAAUAGAACAAAAAAAUUACAAAAUUAAGAAUUUUAAAAUAUGAAACCAUGACAAAUUAAUAUUAUGGCUAAAUAUUUUUUUAAAAAAAAGGCAACCACCGUAAAAAAAAAAAAAGAAGGCAGCCACACAAUAGGAGUAAGUCCACAUUGAAUUAAAAAAAAAUUGACAAAAAAAAUAAAUAAAUAAAAAAUAACAAAUAUAUGAGAAAAGGGAGAGUGAGACACGCUUCCCCUUUUUGUCAAAACAAAAACCCUAGCCACCACACCUGGCCUCUCCUCUUCUCCUCCUCCUUCCCUUACGACCACGAAACCACCAGCCAGGCCUCCGACAACUUCCGUCGGACAUGCGACCCACACCACUGACCCCCGUCCCACCCAAUUUUGUUUCUUUGUCAAACUUGUGUUGCACAGGACAAAUGACCACCGCUGCGUGACUUCCAGCGAGGCCCAUAGAGUUCAUAAUUGUAGACUAAAGUAGUAGUGUUACCAUGAUAUUCUCUCUAUGGUAUGGUCAUAUAAUGGAGUUUGAAUUGAAGGUUCCUCCUCUCCCUCCAUGUCAUUGAUUUGUGGAGGAAGUAUACUAUCUAGGCUCAUUCUGUGGUGGUAUCGAGCAAGGAGGGAGUAACUGUGAGUGUUUCAGCUUGACAUAUAUAUGUUUUUGGUUUCUGAUUUUAUUGUUAGUGUUAGUAAAUUUGAAGAACCUUGUGUAGAAAUGAAAUUUCUCUUUUUAUAGGAUAUAGAUUGACUUUUGUUCUAUGAGAUAUUCAUAUAGAAAAGCAUAAGAUAGAUAUAGAGUAGUUAUUUACCUGAUGAA
Long non-coding RNA from Lotus japonicus, 2349 nucleotides. RefSeq lists it as uncharacterized. Lineage: Eukaryota; Viridiplantae; Streptophyta; Magnoliopsida; Fabales; Fabaceae. The transcript is spliced from 2 exons. The record is from RefSeq and is a predicted model, not a curated record.